This 440-nucleotide ribosomal RNA is filed under the name uncultured bacterium. Its description in RNAcentral is "partial 16S ribosomal RNA". It matches the Rfam family "Bacterial small subunit ribosomal RNA", at positions 338 to 795 of the family's 1533-position model. The record is from RNAcentral.
CCUACGGGAGGCUGCAGUGGGGAAUAUUGCACAAUGGGGGAAACCCUGAUGCAGCGACGCCGCGUGAGCGAUGAAGUAUUUCGGUAUGUAAAGCUCUAUCAGCAGGGAAGAAGAUGACGGUACCUGACUAAGAAGCUACGGCUAACUACGUGCCAGCAGCCGCGGUAAUACGUAGGGGGCAAGCGUUAUCCGGAUGUACUGGGUGUAAAGGGAGCGUAGACGGCGAUGCAAGCCAGAUGUGAAAGCUCGGGGCUCAACCCCGGGACUGCAGUUGGAACUGUGUGGCUGGAGUGUCGGAGAGGUAGGCGGAAUUCCUAGUGUAGCGGUGAAAUGCGUAGAUAUUAGGAGGAACACCAGUGGCGAAGGCAGCCUACUGGACGAUGACUGACGUUGAGGCUCGAAAGCGUGGGGAGCAAACAGGAUUAGAUACCCUUGUAGUC